This 253-nucleotide ribosomal RNA is filed under the name uncultured bacterium. Its description in RNAcentral is "partial 16S ribosomal RNA". It matches the Rfam family "Bacterial small subunit ribosomal RNA", at positions 524 to 776 of the family's 1533-position model. The record is from RNAcentral.
UACGAAGGGUGCAAGCGUUGUUCGGAAUUACUGGGCGUAAAGGGUUCGUAGGCGGGAAGAUAAGUUAAGUGUGAAAUCCCUAGGCUCAACCUAGGACGUGCAUUUAAAACUGUUUUUCUUGAGUGUUGGAGAGGGUAGUGGAAUUGCUGGUGUAGGAGUGACAUCCGUAGAGAUCAGCAGGAACAUCAGAGGCGAAAGCGACUGCCUGGCCAAACACUGACGCUGAGGAACGAAAGCGUGGGGAGCAAACAGG